UUCUUUUGAGAUAUUUAUUUACAUACUUAACAUAAAUCUAGUUAAACUUUCACAUUAAUAUGUCAUUAUUGUAGAUGCUUCAAGAACUUUCUAAAUUAGUUAGUGUUGUUUUCUAUUUUCACAUUAGUUUAGACUAAUAUUUAAGGUAAGAAAGUUUAAAACAGAUAAGAAUUGAAGUAUGUUUCGACAUUUUGGUGAGGGGAAAAAAAGCUUAAGUUUCGGGGAUGAGGAGUCAAUAUAUAGAACAUACCGUACGGAAGUGCUUACUCCCUCCCAAAAGUAAUCUACUACUAUAUGUAAUAAGGCACAUGUCAACGAAAUACGUACUUUAUAGCAUGAGUAUUACCUUGAACAAGGAAGCACUUUGGGCUCAAGUAUUUCAGCCCCGUUUGCACUGUAAUCAUAGCCACCUUUGGAAUUCAAAUCAAAGUUGAUCAUAUUCUUUUCGAUAUUAAACUCGUUUGUGUCUUCUUCUGCAGCCUCCAUUUUGCAUAUCUGGAUGAGUGAAUCACCGGUCUUCUUACAAACAUCAUUUAGGUUUGUUAUACUUCCUCUUAUUUCUUGUUUCUUAAAUUUUUCAAUUUGAUCUGACAGAGCCGCAUCGAAGUUUAUUAACUGCAUUUCUGUGCUUUGGUCAAGACUACCAAGGUUACUGUUAAUGGCGAGUGCCAGACUCUUUUGUGCAUUCUCUAAGAUAUCUUGCAAGUAUUUUCCUUGAGCCUCUAUUCUCAUUUGUAGUUUAUUUUGUACCUGUCUUUACAAGAGCCAACAAAAUGAAAAUCGAUCACAAACUUGAGAUUGAGUUUGUUGUAACUAGAAGAAUUUAGCAAGGUGUACCUCGAGUUGUUCUAGUAUUGUUUUUUGGACUUCAACAUGUGAUUUAAG
Molecule: long non-coding RNA, 885 nt
Filed under: Cucumis sativus (cucumber)
Lineage: Eukaryota; Viridiplantae; Streptophyta; Magnoliopsida; Cucurbitales; Cucurbitaceae
Description: long non-coding RNA (CSAT_LNC001174)
Source: RNAcentral